Molecule: microRNA precursor, 93 nt
Filed under: Pelobates cultripes (western spadefoot toad)
Lineage: Eukaryota; Metazoa; Chordata; Amphibia; Anura; Pelobatidae
Source: RNAcentral
UAUAAUAUAAAGCAGAGAAAAUACCGGCACUCUAGGUCCCAGACCUAAAGUGACGGUAUUUUCUCUACUUUUUAUAUAUAUAUAUAUAUAUAU